UUGGUGGUAUUAAGUGCAAGCACAUUGUCAC
RNAcentral lists this non-coding RNA (31 nucleotides) under Mus musculus (house mouse). Lineage: Eukaryota; Metazoa; Chordata; Mammalia; Rodentia; Muridae. The record is from RNAcentral.